UACAGAGGGGGCAAGCGUUGUUCGGAAUUACUGGGCGUAAAGGGCGCGUAGGCGGCCUGUUAAGUCGAACGUGAAAUCCCCGGGCUCAACCCGGGAACUGCGUCCGAUACUGGCAGGCUUGAAUCCGGGAGAGGGAUGCGGAAUUCCAGGUGUAGCGGUGAAAUGCGUAGAUAUCGUAAGGAAGACCAGUGGCGAAGGCGAAUCUCUGGACAGUUACUGACACUGAGGCACGAAGGCCAGGGGAGCAAACGGG
RNAcentral lists this ribosomal RNA (253 nucleotides) under uncultured bacterium. RNAcentral describes it as "partial 16S ribosomal RNA". It matches the Rfam family "Bacterial small subunit ribosomal RNA", at positions 524 to 776 of the family's 1533-position model. The record is from RNAcentral.